RNAcentral lists this ribosomal RNA (547 nucleotides) under uncultured Glomeromycotina. RNAcentral's name for it is "SSU rRNA". It matches the Rfam family "Eukaryotic small subunit ribosomal RNA", at positions 548 to 1098 of the family's 1831-position model. Lineage: Eukaryota; Fungi; Glomeromycota. The record is from RNAcentral.
UUGGAGGGCAAGUCUGGUGCCAGCAGCCGCGGUAAUUCCAGCUCCAAUAGCGUAUAUUAAAGUUGUUGCAGUUAAAAAGCUCGUAGUUGAAUUUCGGGACUAAUAUGUCGGUCGUACUUUGUACGUACUAGCAUUAUUGGUUUCUCCCUUCUGACGAACCACGAUGUCAUUAAUUUGGUGUCAUGGGAAAUCAGGACUGUUACUUUGAAAAAAUUAGAGUGUUUAAAGCAAGCUCGCGCUUGAAUACAUUAGCAUGGAAUAAUGAAAUAGGACGUUUGAUUCUAUUUUGUUGGUUUCUAGGAUCGACGUAAUGAUUAAUAGGGAUAGUUGGGGGCAUUAGUAUUCAAUUGUCAGAGGUGAAAUUCUUGGAUUUAUUGAAGACUAACUACUGCGAAAGCAUUUGCCAAGGAUGUUUUCAUUAAUCAAGAACGAAAGUUAGGGGAUCGAAGACGAUCAGAUACCGUCGUAGUCUUAACCAUAAACUAUGCCGACUAGGGAUCGGAUGAUGUUAAUUUUUUAAUGACUCAUUCGGCGCCUUACGGGAAAC